CGUAUUCAUUCACAUGUUCAUCUGCUCAGGCAUUCAUUGAAUAUUUAUUGUCUAAAUUAUGUACAGUGUAGACACAGAUGCCAAAGGAAGAAGAGUUUGGCUGUCACCAUCACUGUGGCUUGUGUGACAGGCCCUGAAGUGGAGAGUUGCUGCAGGGGCUGCUGUGGGAUUGGUAAACCCAGGUUGGAGAGGACCAGAAUCGCCCCUGGAGGAAACAAGCACCUUCAGUCCUCCAAGUGCUAUUGGGUCCCAGUGACUUGCAGAACAACACACGCCCACUGAGCCAGUGGGAACUGACCUGCCUGCCGCCUGCUACCUGAGGCAUUAUAUUGGACUUGAGAAACUCCUGAGUCUCUGGAAUGAUUUACUGAGUGUUGAAAUUUCUAGAACUCCCAAGCCUGUUCAGGAUGAGAUCUGGAGGGAGUAAGAGCUAUAUGAAUCAAACAGCACAACUCCUGGAGCCCUAUCGAGAGAUACCUCCUGAAUUCCUGAGUUUAUUUUAGCAUAUUCUAAAUCAUUUAGGGAGCCCAAG
This 532-nucleotide long non-coding RNA is filed under the name Cricetulus griseus (Chinese hamster). RNAcentral's name for it is "lncRNA (ENSCGRG00015031684.1)". The record is from RNAcentral. Lineage: Eukaryota; Metazoa; Chordata; Mammalia; Rodentia; Cricetidae.